This 468-nucleotide ribosomal RNA is filed under the name uncultured Hydrogenophaga sp. RNAcentral's name for it is "bacterial SSU rRNA". It matches the Rfam family "Bacterial small subunit ribosomal RNA", at positions 916 to 1381 of the family's 1533-position model. The record is from RNAcentral. Lineage: Bacteria; Pseudomonadati; Pseudomonadota; Betaproteobacteria; Burkholderiales; Comamonadaceae.
ACGGGGCCCGCACGAGCGGUGGAGCAUGUGGUUUAAUUCGAAGCAACGCGAAGAACCUUACCAGGUCUUGACAUCCCCUGACAACCCGAGAGAUCGGGCGUUCCCCUUCGGGGGACAGGGUGACAGGUGGUGCAUGGUUGUCGUCAGCUCGUGUCGUGAGAUGUUGGGUUAAGUCCCGCAACGAGCGCAACCCUUGUCAUUAGUUGCUACAUUCAGUUGGGCACUCUAAUGAGACUGCCGGUGACAAACCGGAGGAAGGUGGGGAUGACGUCAAGUCCUCAUGGCCCUUAUAGGUGGGGCUACCCACGUCAUACAAUGGCCGGUACAAAGGGUCGCAAACCCGCGAGGGGGAGCCAAUCCAUCAAAGCCGGUCGUAGUCCGGAUCGCAGUCUGCAACUCGACUGCGUGAAGUCGGAAUCGCUAGUAAUCGUGGAUCAGCAUGUCACGGUGAAUACGUUCCCGGGUCUU